GUGUAGCAGCCGCGGUAACACGUAGGGGACGAGCGUUGUCCGGAAUUACUGGGCGUAAAGGGCACGCAGGCGGUACGCCAAGUCGGGGGUGUAAAGUUACGGCUCAACCGUGACCUUGCAAUCGAUACUGGCGUACUGGAGUGCGGGAGAGGGAAGUGGGAUUCCCGGUGUAGCGGUGAAAUGCGUAGAUAUCGGGAGGAACGCCAGUGGCGAAGGCGGCUUCCUGGCCCGCGACUGACGCUCAUGUGCGAAAGCCAGGGGAGCGAACCGGAUUAGAUACCCGGGUAGUCCUGGCCGUAAACGAUGGGUGCUAGGUGUAGGCGCGUCAAGCGUCUGUGCCGAAGUUAACGCGAUAAGCACCUCGCCUGGGGAGUACGGUCGCAAGGCUGAAACUUAAAUGAAUUGGCGG
Molecule: ribosomal RNA, 409 nt
Filed under: uncultured bacterium
Lineage: Bacteria
Description: bacterial SSU rRNA
Rfam family: Bacterial small subunit ribosomal RNA
Source: RNAcentral